UCCAACAAGCAGGCAGAGAGAGUCAGGGGUGCACAGCGGGCUCACCACAGUCUCAGAUUGCAUGCCAGGAGGAUCUAGUCACAGCGUGUUGGG
Chelonoidis abingdonii (Abingdon island giant tortoise) is the source of this 93-nucleotide non-coding RNA. The record is from RefSeq and is a predicted model, not a curated record. NCBI's taxonomy places the organism in Eukaryota, Metazoa, Chordata, Testudines, Testudinidae.